UCUUUUGACUCGGGGUGUUUUUUGUUGCUUACAAAAAACUGAGAUUUUACCCGUUGAACCUGAUCUGGAUUAUACCAGCGUAGGGAAGUCUAAGCCUUGAAAA
This is a non-coding RNA of Gilliamella apicola, 103 nucleotides long. NCBI's taxonomy places the organism in Bacteria, Pseudomonadati, Pseudomonadota, Gammaproteobacteria, Orbales, Orbaceae. The record is from Rfam.